This 209-nucleotide long non-coding RNA is filed under the name Pongo abelii (Sumatran orangutan). RNAcentral's name for it is "lincRNA". The record is from RNAcentral. Lineage: Eukaryota; Metazoa; Chordata; Mammalia; Primates; Hominidae.
GACCCAGAUCAAGUUUGACUGAAAGGCAAACACCAUUCCCGACUGGCUUUACCAUCUGUUUUUCCACAGAGACAACUCACAGGCUAUAAAGUGCUUAACAUUUCCCUGGCUUCAGAAGGCACUAGGGAAGGAAAGCUUAAAGUAUAAUUAAAAAAAAAAGAAGAAGAAGAAGAAGAAGAAGAAAGAAAACCACAUCGUGAUUAACUGAG